CACACUAAAGAUUACCUGAUUAAGACUGAGAGCGAUGGAGAGUUAAAGGGAGAGUUCACCCAAAAAUGAAAGUUCUGUCAUCAUUUUUUCACUCUUGCGUCACUUAAUCCUGUUUAACACACACACACACACACAAAAUCAUAAUGACAUAAAAUCAUAAAAGAAUCAUAAAGGCGGUUCGUAUGAAUAGUGCUCUUUUCCAAGUCUCAUGAAUGCACUCAAUAGAUCAGAGUGAGAAAAUUUUACAUUCACCCUGGGUCAGUUUGCCAUGUUAUUGUAAGAGCUAAUGAUAUUUGAUUUCUGAACAAAUUAUUCAAGUCUUUUU
Molecule: long non-coding RNA, 325 nt
Organism: Carassius carassius (crucian carp)
Lineage: Eukaryota; Metazoa; Chordata; Actinopteri; Cypriniformes; Cyprinidae
Exons: 2
Source: RefSeq, a predicted model, not a curated record